AACUGGUGAGUAACACGUGGGAAACCUGCCCAGAAGCGGGGGAUAACACCUGGAAACAGAUGCUAAUACCGCAUAACAACUUGGACCGCAUGGUCCGAGCUUGAAAGAUGGCUUCGGCUAUCACUUUUGGAUGGUCCCGCGGCGUAUUAGCUAGAUGGUGGGGUAACGGCUCACCAUGGCAAUGAUACGUAGCCGACCUGAGAGGGUAAUCGGCCACAUUGGGACUGAGACACGGCCCAAACUCCUACGGGAGGCAGCAGUAGGGAAUCUUCCACAAUGGACGAAAGUCUGAUGGAGCAACGCCGCGUGAGUGAAGAAGGGUUUCGGCUCGUAAAACUCUGUUGUUAAAGAAGAACAUAUCUGAGAGUAACUGUUCAGGUAUUGACGGUAUUUAACCAGAAAGCCACGGCUAACUACGUGCCAGCAGCCGCGGUAAUACGUAGGUGGCAAGCGUUGUCCGGAUUUAUUGGGCGUAAAGCGAGCGCAGGCGGUUUUUUAAGUCUGAUGUGAAAGCCUUCGGCUCAACCGAAGAAGUGCAUCGGAAACUGGAAAACUUGAGUGCAGAAGAGGACAGUGGAACUCCAUGUGUAGCGGUGAAAUGCGUAGAUAUAUGGAAGAACACCAGUGGCGAAGGCGGCUGUCUGGUCUGUAACUGACGCUGAGGCUCGAAAGUAUGGGUAGCAAACAGGAUUAGAUACCCUGG
RNAcentral lists this ribosomal RNA (703 nucleotides) under Lactiplantibacillus plantarum. Its description in RNAcentral is "bacterial SSU rRNA". It matches the Rfam family "Bacterial small subunit ribosomal RNA", at positions 101 to 790 of the family's 1533-position model. Lineage: Bacteria; Bacillati; Bacillota; Bacilli; Lactobacillales; Lactobacillaceae. The record is from RNAcentral.